UACAGAGGGUGCGAGCGUUAAUCGGAAUUACUGGGCGUAAAGCGCGCGUAGGCGGCUUUUCAAGUCGAUUGUGAAAUCCCCGGGCUUAACCUGGGAACUGCAGUCGAGACUGUCUAGCUAGAGUAUGGGAGAGGGAAGUGGAAUUUCAGGUGUAGCGGUGAAAUGCGUAGAUAUCUGAAGGAACAUCAGUGGCGAAAGCGGCUUACUGGUCCGGUUCUGACGCUGAGGCGCGAAAGCGUGGGGAGCAAACAGG
This 253-nucleotide ribosomal RNA is filed under the name uncultured bacterium. RNAcentral's name for it is "partial 16S ribosomal RNA". It matches the Rfam family "Bacterial small subunit ribosomal RNA", at positions 524 to 776 of the family's 1533-position model. The record is from RNAcentral.